This 495-nucleotide ribosomal RNA is filed under the name uncultured bacterium. RNAcentral describes it as "partial 16S ribosomal RNA". It matches the Rfam family "Bacterial small subunit ribosomal RNA", at positions 28 to 507 of the family's 1533-position model. The record is from RNAcentral.
GACGAACGCUGGCGGCGUGCCUAAUACAUGCAAGUAGAACGCUGAAGGAGGAGCUUGCUUCUCUGGAUGAGUUGCGAACGGGUGAGUAACGCGUAGGUAACCUGUCUGGUAGCGGCGGAUAACUCUUGGAAACGAUAGCUAAUACCCCAUAAUAGAAGAUGUUCCACGACAUUUGCUCAAAAGGUGCAAUUUUACCAUUACCAGUUGGACCUGCGGUGGAUUAGGUAGUUGGUGAGGUAACGGCUCCACAAGGCGACGAUACAUAGCCGACCCGGGGGGGGGAUACGCCACCCUGGGACUGGAACACAGCCCAGACUCCUACGGGGAGCAACAGUAGGGGAACUUCGGCAAUAGGCGGAAGUCUGGCCGAGCAAAGGCGCGGGAGUGGAGAAGGGUCUCGGAUCGGUAAGCUCCGUUGUAAGAGGAGAACGAGUGGGAGAAUGAAAAAUUCACGCUGUGACGGUAACUGAGCAGAAAGGGACGGCUAACUACGUG